GAUGAACGCUAGCGGCAGGCCUAAUACAUGCAAGCCGAACGGUAAGAUUUGUAGCAAUACGAGUCCUAGAGUGGCGUAAGGGUGCGUAACACGUAUGCAAUCUGCCCGCAACUGGAGGAUAGCUCGGGGAAACCCGGAUUAACCCUCCAUAAGAUCACACAAUGGCAUCAAAGAGUGAUUAAAUCUCCGGAGGUUGCGGAUGAGCAUGCGGUUGAUUAGCUAGUUGGUAGUGUAACGGACUACCAAGGCAAUGAUCAAUAGGGGAACUGAGAGGUUGAACCCCCACACUGGCACUGAGAUACGGGCCGAGACUCCUACGGGAGGCAGCAGUAGGGAAUAUUGGUCAAUGGGUGAAAGCCUGAACCAGCCAUGCCGCGU
This 378-nucleotide ribosomal RNA is filed under the name uncultured bacterium. RNAcentral describes it as "bacterial SSU rRNA". It matches the Rfam family "Bacterial small subunit ribosomal RNA", at positions 28 to 402 of the family's 1533-position model. The record is from RNAcentral.